Molecule: long non-coding RNA, 1263 nt
Filed under: Vulpes vulpes (red fox)
Lineage: Eukaryota; Metazoa; Chordata; Mammalia; Carnivora; Canidae
Description: lncRNA (ENSVVUG00000003671.1)
Source: RNAcentral
CUACUGCCAUGCUCCAGAAUUUGUGUAAGCACAUAAAACAUCUUUUUUUUUUAAAUACUUUGAUAAAUCAUCUUUUCACAUCCCAGAGGCAUUCAGGUAGACUAGAAACAAGACGAGCAUUGAAGGCAGGCAAAUAGAGUUGAAUUUCCGGAUAUUACAUUUCCAUUUAUUUUAUAUAUGACCUUGGAGAAGUCACUGGCCUUUCUCAGCUUGAGUUCUCUCACCUGGAAUUACAACUACCUCACAGAAUCACUGUAAGAAUUUAAUAGCGUACUUAAAUCAAGUGGCUGAGUAUUAAUAUUUUCAUACCAUUGAUCUAUGUUUGGCCUUCUGAACAAUUCAGUGAGAUGGGAGGGCAGGUAUUAUGAUUCUUUUUUUUUUUUUCCUGUGCAUGUCCCAUAUCAGUUCAGAGACAGAACAACUCAACUUGCCCCACAGCUUGCCCUGGGCUCUUUCUGCUCUAACCUUAUCAUAGUUCAUUAGAAGGGCUGUAAAAUGGAUUGUAAUAUAAGACGACCCAGGAGGCAGGUUUUCACGGAGGGACUCAUGAGGUCACAUAGUGGUACUUUGUUUAGAUUGUGUCAAAACUUGCGGCCAGUGGAGGGGCAGGAAAGCUUUCAGCCAAAUAUUAAUACAGUCGCUGAGAACACCAAUGGCAAAAGACAACGAUGGUCAAAGAACAGCAAGGAAGGGGCAGAUCACCAAAGUUUCAGUCAGCUAAAACAGGCAUGGGAGGGAGAGCACGAUUUCCAUCCCCGACUGCUGCCACAGAUUCCAACUGCAAGUGCAAGGGCUGGUAAAACAAUAAAGUCAUCGUCUUUUAUCUCCAUGCCAGAUAGACUCUUUCCUUGGCUUCCAGACAAAAUUCACUUAUUAUAAUUAUCUUCGGAGCUGGCAAUGGCCACUAUCUAAAACUGUGUAAAUGUUCCAGUGAAACCCUGUGGAGCUGGUGUUUGUGUCAAGCUGGGCAGGUGACUGUCCCCCCUGACUGCUGCAGUGUCAUUUCGCUCACACAGAGGCAAGUACCCAUGCAAGGCAUAAGCACGGUGGGAAGUCACUGCAGUGGAAACACACAUAUCAUAAAGCACAUGUGCAAUUCCUCUUCAGCAUACUUCAUGAAACCUAAGUUGACAUUUUACAGCUAAAGCAAGUUUUUGUACUGACUACUGUGCUAAAAGAGCGCUGGGCUGUUACGCACAGACGUGCUGUUUCGCGAUACAGAAUUUUAACUAUUCUGAUGUAUUAUUAGCCAUGUGAAAUUCA